This is an RNA transcript of Hypomesus transpacificus, 1872 nucleotides long. It is a transcript of the gene named F-box and leucine-rich repeat protein 15, with no coding region annotated. The transcript is spliced from 6 exons. The record is from RefSeq and is a predicted model, not a curated record. NCBI's taxonomy places the organism in Eukaryota, Metazoa, Chordata, Actinopteri, Osmeriformes, Osmeridae.
CGGAAAUUUGUCAACAGAAGACUCAUCUUUGUCUGUGGUUACCCAAGGAUCGCAUGUAGCUAUUAACUAACUAUAUGAACAUUCUACCAGCUUCGUUGCAUAUACUUUUUGAACAGAAUGGAUAACGGAACAGAUGGAUGCAGAUGUCAUCUACUGGACUUACCCUGGGAGGAUGUGCUGGUUACAAAUGUUUUCUGCUACUUGCCAUUAAGUCAUCUUGUCAGUCUACAGAGAGUUAGCAAGCAGUUUCAUGCUCUCAUUCAGGUUUACCUUGCCAACUGCCGGACCUUUGAUCUCACUCAAAUAGGGGCUUCAAUUCCCAAGGAGGCCUUUUGCUCUAUGCUAAGGGACAACAAAGUUCUCCAGAACUUAGCAUUGCAGAACUGCUCAGAUUGGGUGACAGACAGUGAGCUGCUGCCUGUGAUUGGUCAGAACCAGCACCUGCUGAGAGUGGACAUGAAGGGAUGUGUUCAAUUGACCCGCCACUCCCUGGUGGCCUUGUCUUUGAGCUGCAUGCACCUUCAGCACCUGGGCCUGGCUCACUGCGAGUGGGUGGACAGCCUGUCCCUGCGCAGCCUGGCUGACCACUGCAGGGGGCUGCAAUCCAUAGACCUCACCGCCUGUCGCCAGCUCAAGGACGAGGCCAUCUGUUAUCUCGCCAAAAACUGUCUGAAGUUGAGGUCUGUGUCUGUGGCAGUCAAUGCCAACAUCACGGACGACUCUGUGGAGGAGGUGGCCAAGAACUGCAGGGAGCUAGCGCAGCUGGACCUGACAGGCUGUCUGCGGGUUAGGAACCAGUCCAUCAGGACUGUUGCGGAAUAUUGCCCCAAGCUUCAGUCCCUAAAGGUGAAUCACUGUCACAAUGUUACUGAGUCCAGCCUGGAUCUUUUACGCAAGCGGAAUGUUGAAAUUGAUGUUGAACAACCACUACAGAGGGCACUAGUACUUUUACAGGAUGUGGUGGGAUUUGCACCCUUCAUCAAUCUUCAGAUUUAGGCAAAGAGCUAUUUAUCUCCAUCUAUCACAAGUACAGUAAAACAGGUCUUGAUCACAAGUGGAGAAAAUGAUCUACCUUGCACUUUAUAGUGCCACUGACAAAGUCAACGUUAUUACUGAUCUACAACUUCUUAUCACCCGUUGUAACCUGUACCUUUUAAAAAAGGGAAAGCCCAACCAAAGUACAAGAACAAAGAACAUGGUUAUCUGUGAGAGUACUGUAUUAAAGGUAACAUGUUUCAUUUAGAAACAUUAAACGGUAAAAUAUUAUUAGGCAUGCAUGAAUAUGCUACUGACACUUUCUAUGUCCUUUUUUGUGCAUUGUUGAGGACUAAGUGCUGUCUGAAAAUACUCCCCAUGUCUUUAAGUAAUGUUCAAUUGGAUUUGGGAAUGUUGCAAAAAUUGGAUGUAAUCACAGUAAGUUUUAUUAUAAGGUGUAAAUCCUACUUUACCAAUAACAAAUCUUUUUGUGCUGUGUUUAUGUGUUAAGGCUAUCUGAGGGGCAGGGGCACCAGCUGCAUAUGGUGGGGCACAGGGGCGUUGCUAGACAUACAGCUCUACUGGGGCACAGGCCCAUCAUUAGAGCUACUCAUCACUUAAGUUUUUUCUUUUCUUUUAAGCUUGCAAUACAAUGCACUAACUUGCAUUGCCUAACCCACUAUAUGCAGGGGUGCACAUAACUGGUACGCAGGUCACAUGCGCGUCAAAAAUCAGGAAUGUGUAAAGCCACUUGUUUUACUAUGCACCUUUGCAUACUUGACUGAUAACCUCUAACCUUACACAUGACAUGUUGCUUGUCAACUACUCAGAGAUGUCUAAAAAGCAACAGACGCAAAGAAGCUUCUUUGGCGUUUCGCCACCUACAAAGAAAUGCCA